RNAcentral lists this long non-coding RNA (555 nucleotides) under Rattus norvegicus (Norway rat). Its description in RNAcentral is "long non-coding RNA NONRATT032672". Lineage: Eukaryota; Metazoa; Chordata; Mammalia; Rodentia; Muridae. The record is from RNAcentral.
UCUGAAUACUUGGUCCAUUCACUAAGUUUACCAAAAUAAUUUCCAAAAGACUACUACAUUUUUCUUUUCUCCUAGAACUGUAGAUCCUCAGAUCUUUGAAGACGGAGGUGUCAGGGAUUCUCUGCAUGGUACAUUUAGCCCUGAGGAAAUUGGACUCACCCCUGACUGAAGGAAUUCGGGCAAGCCCAUUUGGAUCAGCGUUUGCAUAAGAUUAAACCCCUUUCUGGAGUUUGUGUUUAGAGAGACUAUCUCAACCCCAUUGCCGGGGACAGGCAAUGCCAGAAUGUGUUUAGGUGUGUACAAUGCAACCUAAGAAGAACAGUGAACGUUAAAGGGAUUCGUGAUCCAUCACAGGGAGGCAGAAUGGAAGCUGUUGAUGAGAAGGGAACAGAAGUGGGAAUAAGAUUCCAGGCCAGGCUGAGAUAGAAGAGAGAACACGCGCAGAGUGGAAUUUAAUGCUUACGAGUGGAAUUACCUACGGGGACUCUUACAUGUUUUAUAAAUGAGACAGCAGAGCCAGAGGGUAGCUAGAAGAAGGGGAAUUUUCUCUCAGAG